AAAUACAUGUUUAUAUGUUGCCAAUCUUGAAGAAUUUUCUUUUCUGGGUUCUCCUAUAUGAAAAAAAAUUUAACAGAGGUUGAAAGUGGCAACAGUAGGACCAAAUUAAGUCAAUUACCUUGAAUAAAAUAUAUUGGAGUCUUUCCCUUCAAUAGGAAUUCCAAUUCAAUAAUUGUAAGGAAGAAAUCAAUCUGUGUAAAGAGAUUUAUCUUUUCUAAUAUGUGAACUUGGCCCAUGACUUGACAGCAACUACAACUACGGUCCAGCAGGAAAAGCCAUAAACUAUGACCUUCUAAACAACCCAGAUGCUGUUGCAACAGACCCAACUAUUUCCUUCAAGACGGCUUUGUGGUUCUGGAUGACCCCUCAAUCACCAAAGCCUUCAUGCCACAGUGUUAUCACCGGACAGUGGACGCCAUCAAGUUCAGACACAUCAGCAGGUCGUGUUCCUGGCUAUGGGCUCAUCACCAACA
RNAcentral lists this long non-coding RNA (473 nucleotides) under Vitis vinifera (wine grape). Its description in RNAcentral is "long non-coding RNA (VVIN_LNC006822)". Lineage: Eukaryota; Viridiplantae; Streptophyta; Magnoliopsida; Vitales; Vitaceae. The record is from RNAcentral.